RNAcentral lists this ribosomal RNA (467 nucleotides) under uncultured bacterium. RNAcentral's name for it is "bacterial SSU rRNA". It matches the Rfam family "Bacterial small subunit ribosomal RNA", at positions 330 to 794 of the family's 1533-position model. The record is from RNAcentral.
GCCAGACUCCUACGGGAGGCAGCAGUGAGGAAUAUUGGUCAAUGGGCUUACGCCUGAACCAGCCAAGUCGCGUGAGGGAAGACUGCCCUAUGGGUUGUAAACCUCUUUUGUCAGGGAGCAACGCCGGCUACGUGUAGCCGGACUGAGAGUACCUGAAGAAAAAGCAUCGGCUAACUCCGUGCCAGCAGCCGCGGUAAUACGGAGGAUGCGAGCGUUAUCCGGAUUUAUUGGGUUUAAAGGGUGCGUAGGCGGAAUGCCAAGUCAGCGGUAAAAUCGCGGGGCUCAACCUCGCUCCGCCGUUGAAACUGGCUGUCUUGAGAUGUCGAGAGGUAUGCGGAAUGCGCAGUGUAGCGGUGAAAUGCAUAGAUAUCACGCAGAACUCCGAUUGCGAAGGCAGCAUACCGGCGCCCGACUGACGCUGAGGCACGAAAGCGUGGGGAUCGAACAGGAUUAGAUACCCCAGUAGU